GAGCAACCUGCCCUGGACUCUGGGAUAAGCGCUGGAAACGGUGUCUAAUACUGGAUAUGAGAUGUGAUCGCAUGGUCAUGUUUGGAAAGAUUUUUCGGUCUGGGAUGGGCUCGCGGCCUAUCAGCUUGUUGGUGAGGUAAUGGCUCACCAAGGCGUCGACGGGUAGCCGGCCUGAGAGGGUGACCGGCCACACUGGGACUGAGACACGGCCCAGACUCCUACGGGAGGCAGCAGUGGGGAAUAUUGCACAAUGGGCGGAAGCCUGAUGCAGCAACGCCGCGUGAGGGAUGACGGCCUUCGGGUUGUAAACCUCUUUUAGCAGGGAAGAAGCGUAAGUGACGGUACCUGCAGAAAAAGCGCCGGCUAACUACGUGCCAGCAGCCGCGGUAAUACGUAGGGCGCAAGCGUUAUCCGGAAUUAUUGGGCGUAAAGAGCUCGUAGGCGGUUUGUCGCGUCUGCUGUGAAAUCCCGAGGCUCAACCUCGGGUCUGCAGUGGGUACGGGCAGACUAGAGUGCGGUAGGGGAGAUUGGAAUUCCUGGU
This 541-nucleotide ribosomal RNA is filed under the name uncultured bacterium. RNAcentral's name for it is "bacterial SSU rRNA". It matches the Rfam family "Bacterial small subunit ribosomal RNA", at positions 119 to 674 of the family's 1533-position model. The record is from RNAcentral.